Molecule: ribosomal RNA, 439 nt
Filed under: uncultured bacterium
Lineage: Bacteria
Description: partial 16S ribosomal RNA
Rfam family: Bacterial small subunit ribosomal RNA
Source: RNAcentral
CUACGGGAUGCUGCAGUGAGGAAUAUUGCACAAUGGGGGAAACCCUGAUGCAGCAACGCCGCGUGGAGGAUGAAGCAUUUCGGUGUGUAAACUCCUUUUAUCAGAGAAGAAAAUGACGGUAUCUGAUGAAUAAGCUCCGGCUAACUCCGUGCCAGCAGCCGCGGUAAUACGGAGGGAGUAAGCGUUAUUCGGAAUCACUGGGCGUAAAGGACGCGUAGGCGGGUUUUUAAGUCAGGUGUGAAAUCCUAUGGCUCAACCAUAGAACUGCACUUGAAACUGGGGACCUAGAGUAUGGAAGGGGCAGGUGGAAUUAGUGGUGUAGGGGUAAAAUCCGUAGAUAUCACUAGGAAUACCGAAAGCGAAGGCGACCUGCUGGGACAAUACGGACGCGGAGGCGUGAAAGCGUGGGGAGCAAACAGGAUUAGAUACCCCCGUAGUC